GACGAACGCUGGCGGCGUGCCUAAUACAUGCAAGUAGAACGCUGAAGGAGGAGCUUGCUUCUCUGGAUGAGUUGCGAACGGGUGAGUAACGCGUAGGUAACCUGCCUGGUAGCGGGGGAUAACUAUUGGAAACGAUAGCUAAUACCGCAUAAGAGUAGAUGUUGCAUGACAUUUGCUUAAAAGGUGCAAUUGCAUCACUACCAGAUGGACCUGCGUUGUAUUAGCUAGUUGGUGGGGUAACGGCUCACCAAGGCGACGAUACAUAGCCGACCUGAGAGGGUGAUCGGCCACACUGGGACUGAGACACGGCACAGACUCCUACGGGAGGCAGCAGUAGGGAAACUUCGGCAAUGGACGGAAGUCUGAGCGAGCAACGCCGCGUGAGUGAAGAAGGUUUUCGGAUCGUAAAGCUCUGUUGUAAGAGAAGAACGAGUGUGAGAGUGGAAAGUUCACACUGUGACGGUAUCUUACCAGAAAGGGACGGCUAACUACGUG
This 495-nucleotide ribosomal RNA is filed under the name uncultured bacterium. RNAcentral describes it as "partial 16S ribosomal RNA". It matches the Rfam family "Bacterial small subunit ribosomal RNA", at positions 28 to 507 of the family's 1533-position model. The record is from RNAcentral.